Molecule: long non-coding RNA, 1311 nt
Organism: Trichoplusia ni (cabbage looper)
Lineage: Eukaryota; Metazoa; Arthropoda; Insecta; Lepidoptera; Noctuidae
Exons: 3
Source: RefSeq, a predicted model, not a curated record
UGGUUUUGCCGCUGUGAAAAAUAUAUUGUAAUGAAGAAAAUUCAAGAACAUUUAUUUCUCUUGAUGUUGAUCCAUUGACACAGAGGCACUUACUGAACUUAACUAAAAAGGUUGAUGGUGUGUUGAAUGAAUUCCAACUCCCCACAUUUUAUGAGACUCCUUCAUUUCAUAUGAGUGUCCUGUGGGUAAAUGGUAAUAAGAAAUUAGAACUCGAAAGUAUUUUAGAAGAGUUAAAUGAAUUGUUUUAUGAAAAUAUUGAAAAAUCGCCAAAACAUUUUUAGUUGAUACAGUGAAUUGUAAAAGUGGUAACAAGUAUUUUCAAUAUUCUUUGAGUUAAAAUGGAACAUCAAACUAAAUCAAGUGUUUAUUCCCAUGACAGUGGUAGCAACAAAGUUUAUGUAAAUCGAAAUUUUAGUAAAGGCCAUCAAAAUAGCUCUACCUCCAAUUCUAUAAUGCAUGUAAAUCCAAAAUUCUCAUAUCUUAUAUCAAAUGCCCAGGGUAACACACAAACUAAAAACAAAAUCUAUGUUAAUCCUAAUUUCAUUAAACCUAGUAGUACUUCUGAGAUUAAUCCUAAUGCAUCAACAAGAACUAAAUCAACUAUUUAUAAUACACAAAAUGCAAUUUCUAUGACUUACCAGUCCCAUCAAAAGGCUUUAGAAAAUAAUACAAAUGCGGUACUUCAGGUACCACUUUCACGGUCUCGCUAUUGUUUAGUGAGACACACAGUAAAAAAUAAAGAUGUCGAACAGCCAAUGCCUUCUAAAGUAAAAAGUACGUUCAAGAUAAGCAAAUACAAAUCUGUACCAUGGAAUGAUGUAAAAAGAAAUCUAGAAGACGCCAAAACUGUUUCGAUAAAUGCCAUAAAUUUCUCCUCACACAUAAAUAAGAAUGUUAAUACAUUCUUCCGAACCUAUCCGUUGCGGCUCAGAUGGUGGUUUUUAGCGUUGCCGUUUUGUGCAUUUAUGUUUGUAUUUGACGAAUUUCGAAAAUAUUGCAUUAGAAGAGAACUUUUUGGAGGAUGGUAUAACAGGUUGACAUUUUAUUAAAUCCAAUAAAGAACAUCCGAAAAUGUAUGCAACUGUCUCAGCUAAUUGCUAUGGUGAUACGAUAUUGCUAAACUAAUAUUAAAUGUAGGUGGUUAAUUAAAUGUUACAAAAUAAAACAAACAUAUCCAGGGCUUUGAUUUUUUCUGGAAUUUUACUUUAUUUUUGAUCCCACACAUACUCAGAUCUCUAAAUAAUAAAAGUUUAACAAUCAUUAAGUACCUAAUAUAAUGAGCAAAAUAACAAAAUUACAUAUCAGAAUCAG